UCUCUCCUCCUUUCCGCGUCUUGGCGAUCUCUCCUCCUUUUCGCAGCUCGGCGAUCUCUCAUCCUUUGAAUAUUAUCUCUCAUCUUUUUAUCGUAAUCUCUCUCUAUUGCUAUCGUCUCUCCGUAUGUAUUUGUUCUCUCCUCUUUUUUUUUUUCAUCGUCGUCCGCAUUGAUUUUUAUUCUCAUAUUUAUAAUAAAAUAAAAGGGGCGGCGAGAGAUAUUUUGAGGAGUCGAUUAGAGAUUCAAAUUUUGAAUCGGUUGUUGGAUGGUUGGAAAAUAUUUUGGGGGUUGGCUGGGAAUUCGAAAUUCGAAAUCGAAUUUUGAAUCGAUUGUUCGAUAGAUAGGUAUUCAAAAUUUGAAUAAAUGUGGUUGGUUGGGAGAUUUUUGGGAGUUGGCUGGGAAUUCGAAAUUCGAAAUCGAAUUUUGAAUCAGUUGUGAUUUGUUGGAAGUUGUUUUGGGAGUUGGUUAGGAAUUCGAAAUCCAAAAUCAAAUUUUGAAUCGGUUGUGAUUUGAAAUAGAGUUUCGAAUGGGGUUGUUAGGAUAAUAGAUAUUUUCUAGAGUGUGGAUAUGAACCGUCAUUGAUCGAGCCCACUUUAAUGAAAUUUGUUGGGCACAAAUAAUAAUAAUCAAUGGGCUGAAAUGAGACCCGAAUUAUUAUAUAGGCCUAAAAUUUUAAAGGGCUUUAAUAAGGCCCACCAACUCGCAUCCAUGAAUGGGUCUAUUGUGAAUUAUAAUUAUUGGCUCCAAUAUUAUUUUUUUUUUCAUGUCAAAUACUAAGCUAUUACAAGCAUUCACACCACAUGCGUUUUACAUAUUACAUUUUCGUUUUCUUUUCUUCCAAAUACAAUCAAGAUUAUUACAAUAUUGUUUUCCUUCUUUUAUACACCCCUAGCUAGGCUGACUCGGGGUAUUGCUAUCUCUAGUCUCAGUGGUAGAGCGCUAUCUACGGAGGUACGCCCUUUCCACGCGCCGCCGCGCCGCUUGCGUGUGAA
RNAcentral lists this long non-coding RNA (991 nucleotides) under Ananas comosus (pineapple). Its description in RNAcentral is "long non-coding RNA (ACOM_LNC036039)". The record is from RNAcentral. Lineage: Eukaryota; Viridiplantae; Streptophyta; Magnoliopsida; Poales; Bromeliaceae.